RNAcentral lists this long non-coding RNA (819 nucleotides) under Piliocolobus tephrosceles (Ugandan red Colobus). RNAcentral's name for it is "lncRNA (ENSPTEG00000002146.1)". The record is from RNAcentral. Lineage: Eukaryota; Metazoa; Chordata; Mammalia; Primates; Cercopithecidae.
UUUCAUUUCUAUGCACACUCUACAUUGUCGAGCAGUUAAGCGAGUAUAUGAAAAAAGAGCAAGGUAGAUACAGAGACGAAACAAAUUUUAAUAAAAUGUUUAGAUAAAGCGGAGAAAACUAGACCUUUAUUUGAUAAGCUGGAUUAUAAUAAGUUAGCUGUUUUUUGCGAAGGUAAAAAAAAAAAAAAAAAAAAAAAAAAUAGGAACAGCUUGUACAGUAUAGGUAUGAUAAUAUAUAUAUAUAUAUAUAUAUAUAUAUAUAUAUGCACAAUUGCACCGUUUUAGGCCUAUUUGCAGCAGCUGAUAAAAAUGAUCGCACCAAUAAAAUAGAUAAAAGAACAUUAAGGAUGUUUUUUUCAUGUAAAAUUUUUUAUGAAAUAUUAAAUCAUUUUAGAACAUUAAAUGAAGAAGAAAAAAAAAAAUUGAUAUAUGCGAAAUAUAAAACUGUAUAUAUUCAAAAGUGUUUUGAAAAUAAUAUAGAGCCAAAGCCAGGUUCUCCAGUACGAGAAACAAAAGAAGAGUCCAGUUCAGAUUCAGAAAAAAAUAGAUAAAUCAAAUGUUAAUGAAAUAGAAAUGCCAAGGAUAUACGAUAAUAUUUGGAAUGAUGAUUAUAACACAUAUAAAAUCGAACAAAAUAAUUUUACAAAGGACCAAUAUGAAAUUACACCAAGUUAAAACAAUAUAUGUGUAUAUAUCUAUAUAUAUGUGUAAAUGUACUUAUACGUGUAUACACAUAUGUUCGUUUUUUUUUUUUUUUUUUUUUUUAUUGUCUUAACAGGUAGUAAUAAAAUUAGUGACAAACAAAUAGAUUUUACGUUA